RNAcentral lists this transfer RNA (119 nucleotides) under Lachnellula subtilissima. It matches the Rfam family "tRNA". From Rfam's summary of the family: Transfer RNA (tRNA) molecules are approximately 80 nucleotides in length. Their secondary structure includes four short double-helical elements and three loops (D, anti-codon, and T loops). Lineage: Eukaryota; Fungi; Ascomycota; Leotiomycetes; Helotiales; Lachnaceae. The record is from Rfam by way of RNAcentral.
GGGCAUCUGGCCGAGUGGUUAAGGCGCUGUGUUUAGGCCAGGCGAGAGCCUAUCUGAACGAUCAAAUGAUCCAAAAUCCGCAGUGGGAAACCGCGCAGGUUCGAAUCCUGCGGUGCUCA